GCGGGGAAGAGUAGCUUGCUACUUUACCUAGCGGCGGACGGGUGAGUAAUGCUUAGGAAUCUGCCUAUUAGUGGGGGACAACAUCUCGAAAGGGAUGCUAAUACCGCAUACGUCCUACGGGAGAAAGCAGGGGACCUUCGGGCCUUGCGCUAAUAGAUGAGCCUAAGUCGGAUUAGCUAGUUGGUGGGGUAAAGGCCUACCAAGGCGACGAUCUGUAGCGGGUCUGAGAGGAUGAUCCGCCACACUGGGACUGAGACACGGCCCAGACUCCUACGGGAGGCAGCAGUGGGGAAUAUUGGACAAUGGGGGGAACCCUGAUCCAGCCAUGCCGCGUGUGUGAAGAAGGCCUUUUGGUUGUAAAGCACUUUAAGCGAGGAGGAGGCUACCGAGAUUAAUACUCUUGGAUAGUGGACGUUACUCGCAGAAUAAGCACCGGCUAACUCUGUGCCAGCAGCCGCGGUAAUACAGAGGGUGCAAGCGUUAAUCGGAUUUACUGGGCGUAAAGCGCGCGUAGGUGGCCAAUUAAGUCAAAUGUGAAAUCCCCGAGCUUAACUUGGGAAUUGCAUUCGAUACUGGUUGGCUAGAGUAUGGGAGAGGAUGGUAGAAUUCCAGGUGUAGCGGUGAAAUGCGUAGAGAUCUGGAGGAAUACCGAUGGCGAAGGCAGCCAUCUGGCCUAAUACUGACACUGAGGUGCGAAAGCAUGGGGAGCAAACAGGAUUA
Molecule: ribosomal RNA, 720 nt
Filed under: uncultured Pseudomonadales bacterium
Lineage: Bacteria; Pseudomonadati; Pseudomonadota; Gammaproteobacteria; Pseudomonadales
Description: bacterial SSU rRNA
Rfam family: Bacterial small subunit ribosomal RNA
Source: RNAcentral